UAAGCACUCUGUUAAAGCCGGGCACUGAUGUCGGUGUUGCGGUGUCGGAAGAGUGCAAGAGUGAGCUGGCCGGGUUUUCGCUAACACCAUUAGGACAAUUGUCCCAUGACUGGAGUUUGAUAGUGACCUGAGCCACAUUU
This is a small nucleolar RNA of Pungitius pungitius (ninespine stickleback), 140 nucleotides long. The record is from RefSeq and is a predicted model, not a curated record. Lineage: Eukaryota; Metazoa; Chordata; Actinopteri; Perciformes; Gasterosteidae.